Molecule: ribosomal RNA, 505 nt
Filed under: uncultured bacterium
Lineage: Bacteria
Description: bacterial SSU rRNA
Rfam family: Bacterial small subunit ribosomal RNA
Source: RNAcentral
CCUGGCUCAGGAUGAACGCUAGCGACAGGCCUAACACAUGCAAGUCGAGGGGCAGCACAAGGAGCAAUCUGAGGUGGCGACCGGCGCACGGGUGAGUAACACGUAUGCAACCUGCCUGUAAGCGGGGAAUAACCCGUUGAAAGACGGACUAAUACCGCAUAAUACUAAAUUACUGCAUGGUAAUUUAUUUAAACAUUUAUGGCUUACAGAUGGGCAUGCGCAUGAUUAGCUAGUUGGAGAGGUAACGGCUCCCCAAGGCAACGAUCAUUAGGGGUUCUGAGAGGAAGGUCCCCCACACUGGUACUGAGACACGGACCAGACUCCUACGGGAGGCAGCAGUGAGGAAUAUUGGUCAAUGGACGAGAGUCUGAACCAGCCAAGUCGCGUGCAGGAAGAAUGUCCUAUGGAUUGUAAACUGCUUUUGCAGGGGAAUAAAGUGCAUCACGUGUGAUGUUUUGUAUGUACUCUGCGAAUAAGGAUCGGCUAACUCCGUGCCAGCCGCCGC